This 253-nucleotide ribosomal RNA is filed under the name uncultured bacterium. RNAcentral's name for it is "partial 16S ribosomal RNA". It matches the Rfam family "Bacterial small subunit ribosomal RNA", at positions 524 to 776 of the family's 1533-position model. The record is from RNAcentral.
UACGUAGGGUGCAAGCGUUGUCCGGAAUUAUUGGGCGUAAAGAGCUCGUAGGCGGUUUGUUGCGUCGGCUGUGAAAACCUGAGGCUCAACCUCAGGCCUGCAGUCGAUACGAGCAGACUAGAGUGUUGCAGGGGAGACUGGAAUUCCUGGUGUAGCGGUGAAAUGCGCAGAUAUCAGGAGGAACACCGGUGGCGAAGGCGGGUCUCUGGGCCGAUACUGACGCUGAGGAGCGAAAGCGUGGGGAGCGAACAGG